RNAcentral lists this ribosomal RNA (253 nucleotides) under uncultured bacterium. RNAcentral's name for it is "partial 16S ribosomal RNA". It matches the Rfam family "Bacterial small subunit ribosomal RNA", at positions 524 to 776 of the family's 1533-position model. The record is from RNAcentral.
UACAGAGGUCUCAAGCGUUGUUCGGAUUCAUUGGGCGUAAAGGGCGCGUAGGCUGCGGGGCAAGUCGGGUGUGAAAUCUCAGAGCUCAACUGGGCGGGGUCAGCGGAUACGGCCGCACUUGAGCAAGCUAGGGGGCAAUGGAAUUCCCGGUGUAGUGGUGGAAUGCGUAGAUAUCGGGAGGAACACCAGUGGCGAAGGCGGUUGCCUGGAGCUUUGCUGACGCUGAGGCGCGAAAGCGUGGGGAGCGAUCCGG